Molecule: long non-coding RNA, 2101 nt
Organism: Pseudophryne corroboree (corroboree frog)
Lineage: Eukaryota; Metazoa; Chordata; Amphibia; Anura; Myobatrachidae
Exons: 4
Source: RefSeq, a predicted model, not a curated record
UUUGUUUUGGGUGACAUAACCCUUGGAUUUGUUGAUUUAUUUGUGUGCUAGAGAACACAAAGACUUUCUUUAUUUUUGAGCAGGUAAGUGCCCUUGGCCUGUGUUUGUGCUUGUUUGUUUUAAUGGUCUGUAUGCUGUUUUUGACUGUCAUUUGUGUUCUCUUGUAGGUGCUUUGUUUUGGGUGACAUAACCCUUGGAUUUGUUGAUUUAUUUGUGUGCUAGAGAACACAAAGACUUUCUUUAUUUUUGAGCAGGUAAGUGCCCUUGGCCUGUGUUUGUGCUUGUUUGUUUUAAUGGUCUGUAUGCUGUUUUUGACUGUCAUUUGUGUUCUCUUGUAGGUGCUUUGUUUUGGGUGACAUAACCCUUGGAUUUGUUGAUUUAUUUGUGUGCUAGAGAACACAAAGACUUUCUUUAUUUUUGAGCAGGUAAGUGCCCUUGGCCUGUGUUUGUGCUUGUUUGUUUUAAUGGUCUGUAUGCUGUUUUUGACUGUCAUUUGUGUUCUCUUGUAGGUGCUUUGUUUUGGGUGACAUAACCCUUGGAUUUGUUGAUUUAUUUGUGUGCUAGAGAACACAAAGACUUUCUUUAUUUUUGAGCAGGUAAGUGCCCUUGGCCUGUGUUUGUGCUUGUUUGUUUUAAUGGUCUGUAUGCUGUUUUUGACUGUCAUUUGUGUUCUCUUGUAGGUGCUUUGUUUUGGGUGACAUAACCCUUGGAUUUGUUGAUUUAUUUGUGUGCUAGAGAACACAAAGACUUUCUUUAUUUUUGAGCAGGUAAGUGCCCUUGGCCUGUGUUUGUGCUUGUUUGUUUUAAUGGUCUGUAUGCUGUUUUUGACUGUCAUUUGUGUUCUCUUGUAGGUGCUUUGUUUUGGGUGACAUAACCCUUGGAUUUGUUGAUUUAUUUGUGUGCUAGAGAACACAAAGACUUUCUUUAUUUUUGAGCAGAAAAAAUGUACGCUCCUGCAAUCCUUUCCCUGAAUGCCAAGUUUACUGGAAGUUCACAUGAUGCAUAUGUCAUUAGACAAUCAGGGAUAUGGCAGAGAUUAAGAUCAAGUCAACGAGCAGACAUGUGGUUAUUGGGAGACCGUGGAUAUCCUUGCACCCCCUGGCUCAUGACUCCUUACCGUAAUCCCAGGCCAGGACCACAGAUGGCAUUUAACUCCGCGCUUACUGCCACUAGGCAGCUGGUGGAGCGCACAAUUGGUGUCCUUAAAGGGCGGUUUCGUGUGCUCCACCGCACUGGUGGCGACAUCAUGUAUUCGCCGGAGAUGGCAAGUAAAAUAGUGGUCCUGUGCGCAAUACUACAUAAUAUCGCGGUAAGGAGUAGUGUAGAGCUUCCUCAGGCAGAGGAAUUGCCUGAUGAGGAGCCAGGGGUUGUUCGACACUUCGGUGGGGGGAGUGUUACACGGAGGGGGAGCCAAGUCAGGGCAAGGAUUGUUGCCGAAUAUUUCAGGUAUAGUGUUUUGAUAUUUUCUUUUUAAAAAUAUUUAAAAGCACAGUAUGCUUAUGUUUUUUUAUAAAUGUUGACAUUUUGUAUGAUAUUGUAAAGUGAUUGUGUAAUGCUUUUGUUGUGUUGGAAUGUGUAAUUUUUCUUAUCGUCAAAAUCCGCAAACACGUUAAGCUUACAAUGUUUGGUUAGAAAACAAAAUACUGUAAUGUUGCUAAAUAGUGUCCUUAUUUGUUUUAUAUCCUCAAAUCAUGAUUAUGUAAACAAACACACAAACAAAUGAUACUCAAUGUUGCCCACUUUGUGACUGUCCAGCUGAAUGAUCACACAAACUGUGCUGAGUACACAUAUAUGUAUAGUAAUUUAAAAUAAACUGUGUGUCUCUGUGUCUGUUUGUUUUUUUUUGUUUUUUUUGGGUUUAUGAUAAAUAUUUGCUUCUGCUAAUGCGUAUUUCCGCUCGUGCGAAAUAACACUCUGCUCUUCACAGCAUUGCAAAGAUCAAUAAAGUUAUUAGAAAUGACAACAUAGAUUUUGGACCAAUCACAUGCUAACAGACACUAUAAAUAUAUGCCCAAAUAAGGAAAACGCCAUUGCCAUGAUGCGUGCAGCACCGUUCACCAGGCGGGAGCUCCGCGUGCUGGUUGCGGUGAUGGACCGCCGC